AAUAGCCCACAUGCUAGUUCAGGAACAACUUCAGUCUGACCAUUUACAACCUAUUCUCAGUCCUUGGAACACACCCAUCUUUGUAAUUAAGAAAACAUCAGGCAACUGGAGGUUGUUAUAAGAUCUCAGGACAAGUAAUAGUGUUAUUGAGCCCAUGGGAGCCUUAUAACCAGGGCUUCUUUCUCCUGAAGGUAUCCCUUUGGAUUAUCAUUUAAUAGUAAUAGAUUUAAAAGAUUGUUUCUUUUCUAUACCUUUGCACUCAGACAACUGUGAAAGGUUUGCCUUCAA
RNAcentral lists this non-coding RNA (288 nucleotides) under Marmota monax (woodchuck). Lineage: Eukaryota; Metazoa; Chordata; Mammalia; Rodentia; Sciuridae. The record is from RNAcentral.